Molecule: ribosomal RNA, 360 nt
Filed under: uncultured bacterium
Lineage: Bacteria
Description: bacterial SSU rRNA
Rfam family: Bacterial small subunit ribosomal RNA
Source: RNAcentral
AGGGGGAUAACAAUUGGAAACGAAUGCUAAUACCCCAUAUGCUUUUUGAGUGAAAUGGAUUUUAUCCGCCUAGAGAGAAGCUCGCGGCUGAUUAGCUUGUUGGUAAGGUAAGAGCUUACCAAGGCGACGAUCAGUAUCUGGUUUGAGAGGACGAUCAGACACACUGGAACUGAGACACGGUCCAGACUCCUACGGGAGGCAGCAGUGAGGAAUAUUGGUCAAUGGGCGCAAGCCUGAACCAGCCAUGCCGCGUGCAGGAAGAAGCAUCUAUGGUGUGUAAACUGCUUUUAUACAGGAAGAAACAACUCUACGUGUAGAGUCUUGACGGUACUGUAAGAAUAAGGACCGGCUAACUCCGUG